AUGUAAACUUGUUUGAAAAGUAAAAUAAGAUAUUGUGAUUUGUUAAGAAAAAUAAUUUUUAAUAGUUGAUUAAUUAGUAUAAUGAAAUUUAGAUUAAAACUAUAGUUUAAAAGUACCGUGGGGGAAAGUUUAAAUAUAAUGAAAAAUUUAAUUUUAGAAAAGAAAUUAUAAAGUUAUGUACCUUUUGUAUCAGGGAAGAUUAAAAUUUUCUAGGUAGGCUGGGUAUCCCGAAAAAAGAAUAGCUAAAAAAUUAAAAACGUUUUAGUUGUAAAUAGAUUUUUAAUAAUUUUUUGGUAGUGAAAUAUUAAUCGAGUCUUUUAAUAUCUGGUUGUUUCAGAAAAAAAUUUAAUUUUGUUUGAAUAUAGAAAAGCUAAUUCAAGUAAAUAAUUGGAGGGAAAAGCUUCUGGUUAAUUAAUUAAAUAUAAAGUGAUACAGUUGAAAUUUAUUUUAACUAAGCUUAGAAGUAGUUAUGUUAGUAAAGUGUUUUAACUAAAAUUUUUAAUAGUUGAUAUUUGUAUGACUUUUAUUUAUUUAGUAUGAAAUUUUAAUAAUAAGUCUUAUAUUAUUAGAAAAAAUGAUUUUAUUAGUAUAAUUAUCUUUGUCAAGAAUUAACUAAAUGAAAUAAAAAUUUUUCUUUGUUAAUAAACUGAAGAUGCAGUAAAGGAACUCGGCAAAUAAAAUUUCUGCCUGUUUAUCAAAAACAUGUCUUUAUGAAAAUUUAUGUAAAGUCUAGCCUGCCCAGUGAUGUUUAAGUUUAACGGCCGCGGUAGUAUGACCGUGCUAAGGUAGCAU
Molecule: ribosomal RNA, 792 nt
Filed under: Panulirus homarus (Indian spiny lobster)
Lineage: Eukaryota; Metazoa; Arthropoda; Malacostraca; Decapoda; Palinuridae
Description: partial 16S rRNA
Source: RNAcentral